RNAcentral lists this long non-coding RNA (572 nucleotides) under Elaeis guineensis (African oil palm). RNAcentral's name for it is "long non-coding RNA (EGUI_LNC024596)". The record is from RNAcentral. Lineage: Eukaryota; Viridiplantae; Streptophyta; Magnoliopsida; Arecales; Arecaceae.
CGCUCCCUUUUCUUGAUGCCAUAAAGAGAGAGAGAGGGGAUCACUUUCUGUCUCUUCUUCCUUUUUUUUCACAUGAAGGUGUUCAUGCAUCUUCUCUCUUUGAAGAAAAAUCUAAGGUAGUAUGCAUACUAGAAUAAUAAAAAAUUUUAUAUGCGCAGCGAAAAUGAUUUAAUCUAACAUGCAUCUUCUAGAUCUCAUCUAAUAAGAUCAUCCUUAUCAUGUUCUUAAGAUCUAUAUGUAGCAAAUAAAUUUACAAAAUAUAAGCAUUAAGAUCUCAUCUUCAUCUUUGCGUGGAUAGAUAUACACCAUAGUUUGAUGAUUGUGGAUAUCUCUUUCUAGUUCUUUUUAAGCUGCACAAGCAUCCGACCUUUACAGGUAUCCACGGGACAGAUCUAGAAAAGCUCCUCUUUAUUUUUUCAUCAAGAAACCAACAAGCAAUAUUCAAAGGAGGAAGAAAAAGAUGAGAGAACUCCUCUCAAAUCAGUACUUCGCACCUUGCACGUAGAAGGAAAAAGGUGCCCAACCCUUGAGCAUGGAGACCAAAGAUGCCCAACUCUUGGGCAUGAUGAAGA